This 253-nucleotide ribosomal RNA is filed under the name uncultured bacterium. RNAcentral's name for it is "partial 16S ribosomal RNA". It matches the Rfam family "Bacterial small subunit ribosomal RNA", at positions 524 to 776 of the family's 1533-position model. The record is from RNAcentral.
UACGUAGGGGGCAAGCGUUGUCCGGAUUUAUUGGGCGUAAAGAGCGUGUAGGCGGCCAGGUAGGUCUGCUGUGAAAACUCGAGGCUCAACCUCGAGAUGUCGGCGGAAACCACUUGGCUAGAGUCCGGAAGAGGAGAGUGGAAUUCCUGGUGUAGCGGUGAAAUGCGCAGAUAUCAGGAAGAACACCUAUGGCGAAGGCAGCUCUCUGGGACGGUACUGACGCUGAGACGCGAAAGCGUGGGGAGCGAACAGG